UAAAAGAAAUCAAAUCCAUGUCUUCUCCCCCUUCCUCUUCAUCACUUCCCCUUUCUCCUCACAACCCAGCUUGCUUCCACCGAUGCCAAGGUGGUUCACUUUGUCGUUGGUAGUUCAUCCUCUUCAUACCUUCUUCUCCCCUAUGCUUCUUCAGUCUUCUUCUACAAAACCAACCAAAACCCGAAUCUCAUGCCCCUUGAGUUCGUCGACAUCCUCACACGAUGUAAGAGCCAGAGCAUAGCCUUGAGUUCGAGAGGGGAAUGGAAUUCGAAGCCUUGAUUUAUGCUUGUAGAGUGGCAUGGGUUUGGAAGGGAAGGAAAAGCUCGAGCAAGAUUUGGUUUUGUCAAUCAAUCUCAUAGGGCUUGAUUCUGAGACCCUUGAGGAGAGAAGUUUUUAUGGUGUUGCCUUUGAUGAGCCUGAAUUGAAGUUGUAACUUGAGGGCACAAAUCAGUGGCGACGUGGGAGGAAAUCACUAGCGAACCCAACUCAAUGGUGGCAUGGGAAGAGAUGAACAGAAGGUAAGGUCUGAGCUGAAGAAGGGGAUGAAGCUGGUGAGGCAAAGGGAAGACGAUGAACUACGUGGCUGUGAAGAUAAUUGAAUGAAAAAUGGGGCACAUCUGACAUGGACUCCCACGUGGCAUUUAAUGAUCAAAAUUAGUAAGUUGACUGUCAACACUAACAAUAAUACUACAUUGUACCUAUUUGAAAAAUACUGGGGGUGAUAUUACACAAAAAAAAAACUUAAAAAUA
Prosopis cineraria is the source of this 750-nucleotide long non-coding RNA. RefSeq lists it as uncharacterized. The record is from RefSeq and is a predicted model, not a curated record. The transcript has 2 exons. Lineage: Eukaryota; Viridiplantae; Streptophyta; Magnoliopsida; Fabales; Fabaceae.